GCAUAUCAAUAAGCGGAGGAAAAGAAACUAACAAGGAUUCCCCUAGUAACGGCGAGUGAAGCGGGAUGAGCUCAAAUUUAAAAUCUUGCAGCCUCAGGUUGUACGAGUUGUAGUCUAGAGAAUCGUUUUCCGCGUUGGCCUGUGUACAAGUCCCUUGGAACAGGGCGUCAUAGAGGGUGAGAAUCCCGUCCUUGACACAGACUACCAAUGCUUUGUGAUGCGAUCUCGAAGAGUCGAGUUGUUUGGGAAUGCAGCUCAAAAUGGGUGGUAAAUUCCAUCUAAAGCUAAAUAUUGGCGAGAGACCGAUAGCGAACAAGUACCGUGAGGGAAAGAUGAAAAGCACUUUGGAAAGAGAGUUAAACAGUACGUGAAAUUGUUAAAAGGGAAACGAUUGAAGUCAGUCAUGCUCUCCGAGACUCAGCCGAUUCUGUCGGUGUACUUCUCGGUUGGCAGGCCAGCAUCAGUUUUGAUCUGUGGAAAAGGUUGGAGAGAAUGUGGCAUCCUCGGAUGUGUUAUAGCUCUUCUUCGAAUACAUAGAGCGGGACUGAGGAACGCAGCGUGCCCUUUAUUGGGUUGGCCUUCGGGUACAUACACGCUUAGGAUGCUGGCAUAAUGGCUUUAAACGACCCGUCUUGGAAACACGGACCAA
Molecule: ribosomal RNA, 649 nt
Filed under: Mrakia aquatica
Lineage: Eukaryota; Fungi; Basidiomycota; Tremellomycetes; Cystofilobasidiales; Mrakiaceae
Description: eukaryotic LSU rRNA
Rfam family: Eukaryotic large subunit ribosomal RNA
Source: RNAcentral